CGUAGACAUAAACAAGAAAAACUUUUUGCUACUAUAUGGAAAUUGUCGAUUUCAAAAUUGCCGGCGGUUUAAUCUUCUUGCUCCGAGUAGCAAAGACUUCGUCGGUGGGAGGGUCUCUUGUUAUCUCUGCUGACAAACACUCCAAAGACGAUAACCACUAUCUCUCCUCCGAGUAGCGUCGACUUCGCUGGCGAGAGGGUCUCUUGUUAUCUCCGCUGUCAAAUACUCCAACGACGAUAACCUCCAUAUCUUCAUCUGUUAAUUACGUAUGUCACUUCAUGGUUUCGAAUCUAUGUUACUUCUAGCAUUAAGAGAAACUAUCUGCGUCUACUUUACAGUAAAGGAAAAUCUCCUAGUCAGCAAAGGAGUAUGAUUUAUUAUAGCUAUUUGUCAAAUUUUCAAAUGGUUAGAGAAGGUGUGGGAUUUGAUGCAUGGGAGGCUGUAAUAAAGUCUGCAAUUGGUGUAUUUCCUAUGUUUUUUAUGAGCUCAAAUUCACAUGGUGGGCAAAGCUUGUCCAUUACCUAUUAACGAAUCAGCUUCAAGUGAAGAAGCAUUAUGAGAUAUGGUCGUUGAUUGAUUGGCAGCUCAUUCGUCUCUCCUUGGUUGAAUUUGGUGAGAUAACAAGAAUGAAUUGCGAACCAUUCCAAAAGGGGAAAUUUGUGAUGUUGAUCAUUCAGAGUUCUGGAAAGAAAUGGGGGUUUCUGCAGUUGUUGGUCCUAACUUAGUUCAGCUUCAGUCGGUAUUGGAAAGAUGCCAAUAUUGGAGUCUCGAGAAGAGGACAAUGGGUGGAUAGUUAUGUGUUAUUCAUCUUGGUAUCUAUGGAAUUUCUCCCUCACGUCAUAUUAUGUUGGAUUGUGCGAAGAGAGUCCUUGAUUAUGAAGCUUUCCGGAGAUACCUGAGGGGUCUUGUAGCGUGGCAGAGUUUGAUAUACUCUGUUAAGUGUGUCGAUUACAGCAAAAAAGAAUCUUAUACGAAGGCAGGGUUCAUUUUCAUCUUACAGAUAUGGGCAUAUGGUGUUUGAUAGAAAAGUUGGUUUUGUACCUUUCUUGAGGCUAUGGUGUUUUUUCUUUAUUUUACUUUCUUGUCUGAUACAGAAGCCGUUGCGUUAAAAAAAUCCAUGUUCAAUUGUC
Molecule: long non-coding RNA, 1130 nt
Organism: Raphanus sativus (radish)
Lineage: Eukaryota; Viridiplantae; Streptophyta; Magnoliopsida; Brassicales; Brassicaceae
Exons: 2
Source: RefSeq, a predicted model, not a curated record